Molecule: long non-coding RNA, 1347 nt
Organism: Beta vulgaris subsp. vulgaris (sugar beet)
Lineage: Eukaryota; Viridiplantae; Streptophyta; Magnoliopsida; Caryophyllales; Amaranthaceae
Exons: 2
Source: RefSeq, a predicted model, not a curated record
CCUUAAUGUUUCUUACUGCUUUCACCGAAGAAUGUGAAGCUUUUUUCGCCACAUGCCUAUGUAAACAUCUUGAGUUUUUACAUUUAUUCUCGCUUUACAUCCGUUCUCAUGCUAAUCUCAAAUAUACCAUAGAUGUUAAACCCUUGUACGUUUGCUUUUACUUGCUAGGCCUUUACUACCAUCUUCUGUGAAUUGAUGGCAACAAGUUUUAUAUCCAGAUCACGUCAACUGCAUCAAUUUUCAGAAAUUGUGUCCUAUUACGGAAGCUUAUAUCCAUCUUGUGGGAGUAGGCCAAAGCUCCAUUUCAAAGCACUUCCAAGACAUGUGAAAUAAUUACAAGUUAGCAGCAAGUUCCAAUUUAGAAGAUUCUCUAAAAUUGUUGCAUUUAACCUUUGAAAUGCACUUUGAACAACCACUGGAAUGUGUAUUGUCUUCUCCAUAGUAUGGCAAUAUGAAUAAAUUGCGUAUAUACACCUUGCUUUUGUGCUUUUCCCCAUACACCCCAAACAACAAGUCCAAGCACCAACUUUUUUUGGAACAACAACUUCAUUAUCAUCUUGCUAAUUAAAUCCAACGUGAUUCGAAUAUGACGAGUACGCUUUUUUGGGGUGCCACGCGCGUAAGGAAGACCAGAACGAGAAUGAACAUUCUGAAUUUCGAGAACCUACGGGAAUAGAGUGAUGAUAAUGAACUAGAACCGAAAUCCAAGGUUGUCAGGAGGGGAAGAGCGCCAACAAAAAAUUGAUGAGACCACCAGGUAGACCUCCACUAGAGAUGGCUAACUCUGACUUUCUAGAAGCAAUUGUUGCUACUGCUGUCUGCUGCUGGUAAGACUACAAAUCGAUCUAACAAUGAGGUGAGAAAAGCAUCUCAUCUACAAAAGUAUGGAUCUUUGCAUUGAAGAUAUUCUUCUCACAGCUCCUGAUAUCGCCUUGUACGCAAUCAAUACGUAUCAAAAUCAAUGGGUUCGGCAUCCUUCUUCCUCUCUUUUGUUCUUUAGAUUUUUCUCUUUUAAAAUUUCCUAAUUCCUUUCUAUUAAGUUCCAUUAAUUACAGAACUGCAAGGAUGUUCAAGCUUCACUCUUUGUUGUUAAAAGCAACACUAGGGAGAUACUAUCGAGACACUACUUGAAGCAUAGAGUAUAUGCAUGCUGCAUGAAGUCUGGUUGAUCUGCUAAAAAGAAAAGUGAGUCUUGGUGCCUUGAUGGUGUAGGCCAAUCUAUUAGACUAUUAGUUCCUCUCUGGCUAGCUUGUAUCAUUUGAUAUUUAGAGCGCAAUUAUAUGAAUUUUGGAUAAAUUUUCAAAAUUAAAUCUUGCCAUCAAAUAUACCUUCACACUUUUGCAUCAA